RNAcentral lists this transfer RNA (73 nucleotides) under Bos taurus (domestic cattle). It matches the Rfam family "tRNA". Rfam says of the family: Transfer RNA (tRNA) molecules are approximately 80 nucleotides in length. Their secondary structure includes four short double-helical elements and three loops (D, anti-codon, and T loops). The record is from Rfam by way of RNAcentral. Lineage: Eukaryota; Metazoa; Chordata; Mammalia; Artiodactyla; Bovidae.
UCCCUGGUGGCUCAGAGGGUAAAGCAUCUGCCUGCAAGCUGGGAGACCUCAGUUCGAACUCUGAGUUUGGGAA